Molecule: ribosomal RNA, 253 nt
Filed under: uncultured bacterium
Lineage: Bacteria
Description: partial 16S ribosomal RNA
Rfam family: Bacterial small subunit ribosomal RNA
Source: RNAcentral
UACGUAGGGACCGAGCGUUAUCCGGAAUCAUUGGGCGUAAAGAGCGUGUAGGCGGCUCGCUAAGUCUUGCGUGAAAUCUCGGGGCUCAACCCCGAGCGGUCGUGAGAAACUGGCGGGCUAGAGUGCGGGAGAGGAGAGUGGAAUUCCUGGUGUAGCGGUGAAAUGCGCAGAUAUCAGGAAGAACACCCGUGGCGAAGGCGGCUCUCUGGAACGCAACUGACGCUGAGACGCGAAAGCGUGGGGAGCAAACAGG